Lagenorhynchus albirostris (white-beaked dolphin) is the source of this 2495-nucleotide long non-coding RNA. RefSeq lists it as uncharacterized. The transcript has 2 exons. The record is from RefSeq and is a predicted model, not a curated record. Lineage: Eukaryota; Metazoa; Chordata; Mammalia; Artiodactyla; Delphinidae.
UUCCUGUGUACAUACUGGGAGAAUCCUUUCAUAAUAAACUAGACACUCUGCAAUAAUAGUGUAUGUAUUCCAUAAUCUUUGAGUUUCUCAUCAAAAAAUAAUUUACUAAAGAGUUCAUAAAAGUAAAAAUACAGGGAUUAGACUAAAACUAUCACCUUAACAUUGCGGAUGUAUCCAUCUUCCCACUUUCCGACCCAGUUAAUUCCUUUAACCACUCAAGUCUGACUCUGGAGAGAGAAACUUUAACUCAUAUUGAGUUUCAGUGCAACCAGUCUUCAUUUAUUAGUUGACUUUAAAAAACUGUCGACUACUCACCUUCUGCAUUGAGAACGUUUUUACCUUCUCACAGUUGCGGGAGUUACUGAAAGGGAGGUUUCUCGCUCUAGGUUUUACUGAGAAUUUCUGACCCUCGUUGAUGCGGCUCCCGGUCCCGGAACACCUGCGGGAGUUUUCAGAAAGCUCUGCACGCGGCGCGGUCACUACAGUUCACUGUACUGAGGCAGCGAAACGAGGAGGACUGGCCUGCCACUGACCGGGCUGAAUCCAAAGGUCACUAGGGAAACAGAAACAAAACGAUCCGCCUGACACAUGACCCGGAAGAGGAAAAACGCACUGACUUCAGGAAAACGAAAGGCAUGCAGCGCGCGCACAGGCACCUCUGCUCCGCGGGCUCGGCUCCGCGCUGGGCCAGGAGCAGCACGCUGUCCUGUUUCUCGUGCACGACCGGAACCUGGGGUGGGGAGAUGGGCUCGUAGGGCUCGCUAGAGACGUGACUCCUCUCUGGGGACUUUCCAGGCCUGAUACUGGAACAUACAAAACAUUAGACAGUCUUCCCAGGGCUCACCUGCGGCUUACCCUGAACAGGAACUGGUUACCUCAUUACUUCAGUCAUUUCAAGGACCAAAAGUUGGCAAUACGUAUCAGAAAAAAGUGGCCUCGUAUACUCACUCUGUACCUAGUUAUUUUGAAAGAGUCUGUUACUGUUGCUUCGUCCAGGCACACGGAGUCGCAUGACAGACGGUGCUGGGGACGGGCCGCAGCCCGGGCUCUGUGGGGAGGUCACUGCCCAGCACCGGACCCCUCGUGCCCCUGGCCAGCUACUCCGCUGAGCCCUCCAGGGUCUUGUUGCUGAUCUCGGGCCAGGACCUACCAGGUUACUUCCCCAUUAAGUUAAAAGACAAAGGACUUGAGCGCCACACUGACACCUGCAAUUUAAUGUUCUUCCUCUGGACACCAUGUUGUAAGGAUGGUGUGAGAUAAACACUGUUUGGGCCCAAAAAAGUUUUUGGUUUAGUAACUGUACAUAUUAAAAGCCCUCUGUGACCUUUAAUAUCUGCUUUUAUUACUAUUAUAGAUAAGUAUAAUUAUAUAUGUAUUACUUGUCAUUUCUUUCCCCAAUCUCACCCCAUCCGAUUCUUAGAGGUGGCCGUUCUUGACCAUUUUUCUUUUAGUUCUUUGGUGGGCACCUCUAAAUCAUCUAAAUAAUCAAUCUUAUACCUUUCUUGAUGUAUCAGAACUUGAAACAGAAUCUUAUCAGUUUCCUUCCAUGAAAGAUGAAGAGCUUGACUACCUUCUCUAUGUUGUUGCCCAUUUUAUUUUAAUCUGUAGUUUGUCUACUUUAACUAUACACGUAGCAUGCUCAGCCAUUUUUAUGUGAUUUACAGCAUUUACAUUCUGUUCUAAACUCUAGAAAAACUCCUCUGUGUUUUGCUCAUUGACUGAAAAAUCAGUUAAUGGUGUUUUACAACACUAUGGAUUUUGUAAACAUUUUAAACUGUAAAACCAGGUAAUCUGACUAAAACCAAUGAAAGAAAUGUAACGUUCCUCAUUCAAAUAUACAGGUGUAGGGCUUCUCUGGUGGCGCAGUGGUUGGGAGUCCGCCUGCCGAUGCAGGGGACACGGAUUCGUGCCCCUGGUCCGGGAAGAUCCCACAUGCCGCGGAGCGGCUGGGCCCGUGAGCCAUGGGCGCUGAGCCUGCGCGUCCAGAGCCUGUGCUCCGCAGCGGGAGAGGCCACAACAGUGAGAGGCCCGCGUUGCGCAAAAAAAAAAAAAAAAAAAAUGUACAGGUGUAGUGAUGCAGAAAUUACAAGUGAAAACUUCAAAAGGAUUUUCUUUUCAAAAAUGCCAUUAACUGCUCAAAAUCUAUGUAGUACUUCGUAUCAAGAAUGUACCACGAAUGACUCUGCUAUAGCUUUCUGUUCUUCUUUGAUAACAAGUUCUCUUCUUUGUUUUUUUGGUCUUUGUUAAAAGAGAAUGGGUUUUCAUCUUAUCCUUAAGAUCAUCCCGCUUCUUGAAAUGAUUAUGUCAUUUGAGAUUUGUUUCAAAACAACGCGGUCUGAGGGUAGGGCAAGUGGGGAUGAAAUGAAACAAACUGGUCCUGUGCUGAUGAUCUUGAAGGUGGGCGAUGAUGCACGGUGGCAUCUUACUCUGUCCUCUCUACUUCUGUGUGUUCAAAAAGUCCCACAAUAAAGUUGUGUUUUUUUCCCAAAUGAGCA